AAUUGACGGGGGCCCGCACAAGCGGUGGAGCAUGUGGUUUAAUUCGAUGCAACGCGAAGAACCUUACCUGGUCUUGACAUCCACGGAAGUUUUCAGAGAUGAGAAUGUGCCUUCGGGAACCGUGAGACAGGUGCUGCAUGGCUGUCGUCAGCUCGUGUUGUGAAAUGUUGGGUUAAGUCCCGCAACGAGCGCAACCCUUAUCCUUUGUUGCCAGCGGUCCGGCCGGGAACCCAAAGGAGACUGCCAGUGAUAAACUGGAGGAAGGUGGGGAUGACGUCAAGUCAUCAUGGCCCUUACGACCAGGGCUACACACGUGCUACAAUGGCGCAUACAAAGAGAAGCGACCUCGCGAGAGCAAGCGGACCUCAUAAAGUGCGUCGUAGUCCGGAUUGGAGUCUGCAACUCGACUCCAUGAAGUCGGAAUCGCUAGUAAUCGUGGAUCAGAAUGCCACGGUGAAUACGUUCCCGGGCCUUGUACACACCGCCCGUCACACCAUGGGAGUGGGUUGCAAAAGAAGUAGGUAGCUUAACCUUCGGGAGGGCGCUUACCACUUUGUGAU
RNAcentral lists this ribosomal RNA (560 nucleotides) under Shigella sp. RNAcentral describes it as "bacterial SSU rRNA". It matches the Rfam family "Bacterial small subunit ribosomal RNA", at positions 908 to 1468 of the family's 1533-position model. Lineage: Bacteria; Pseudomonadati; Pseudomonadota; Gammaproteobacteria; Enterobacterales; Enterobacteriaceae. The record is from RNAcentral.